This 433-nucleotide ribosomal RNA is filed under the name uncultured bacterium. RNAcentral's name for it is "partial 16S ribosomal RNA". It matches the Rfam family "Bacterial small subunit ribosomal RNA", at positions 29 to 507 of the family's 1533-position model. The record is from RNAcentral.
AACGAACGCUGGCGGCAUGCCUAACACAUGCCAGUCGAACGAGACCUUCGGGUCUAGUGGCGCACGGGUGCGUAACGCGUGGGAACCUGCCCUUAGGUUCGGAAUAACUCCCCGAAAGGGGUGCUAAUACCGGAUAAUGUCUUCGGACCAAAGAUUUAUCGCCUUUGGAUGGGCCCGCGUUGGAUUAGCUAGUUGGUAGGGUAAAAGCCUACCAAGGCGACGAUCCAUAGCUGGUCUGAGAGGAUGAUCAGCCACACUGGGACUGAGACACGGCCCAGACACCUACGGGAGGCAGCAGUGGGGAAUAUUGGACAAUGGGCGAAAGCCUGAUCCAGCAAUGCCGCGUGAGUGAUGAAGGACUUAGGGUUGUAAAGCUCUUUUACCCGGGAUGAUAAUGACAGUACCGGGAGAAUAAGCGCCGGCUAACUCCGUG